This 468-nucleotide ribosomal RNA is filed under the name uncultured bacterium. RNAcentral's name for it is "partial 16S ribosomal RNA". It matches the Rfam family "Bacterial small subunit ribosomal RNA", at positions 28 to 507 of the family's 1533-position model. The record is from RNAcentral.
GACGAACGCUGGCGGCGUGCUUAAUACAUGCAAGUCGAACGGAAAGGCCCUGCUCUUGCGGGUCGCUCGAUUGGCGAACGGGUGAGUAACACGUGAGUAACCUGCCCUUGACUUUGGGAUAACUUUUGGAAACUGGGGCUAAUACCGGAUAGGAGCUCCUGCUGCAUGUUGGGGGUUGGUAAGUUUCGGCGGUUGGGGAUGGACUCGCGGGUUAUCAGCUAGUUGGUGAGGUAGUGGCUUACCAAGGGUUUGAAGGGUAGCUGGCAUGAGAGGGUGACCGGGCACCUGAGGACUGAGAUACGGCGCAGAAUCGUACGGGAGGCAGCAGGGGAGAAUAUUGCAGAGUGGGCGGAAGCCAGAUACAGCAGCGCCGCGUGCGGGAUAACGGCUUUCGGGUUGUAAACAGCUGUGGAAUGUGACGAGGAGUGAGUGACGGUAAUGAGUAAGGAAGCACCGGCUAACUACGUG